UAUAUGAUUAGUCUAAUUCGCUAUUUGCUCGGGUAAUUCAUAAGCUAAUACCCGAAUCGGCUUUUCUCGAUUCGCUUCUAAAUUUCUUAAUUAUUAAGUUUUUUUUAUAGAAAUAAUUAAGGUUACAUAAAAAUAAAAUGAUAAAUUCUAUCGUGAAAAACUUUCUUAACAUUUAGGGAAUGUUUGAUAGAGAUUUUUUUUCAUAUCCAAA
This 211-nucleotide long non-coding RNA is filed under the name Glycine max (soybean). Its description in RNAcentral is "long non-coding RNA (GMAX_LNC000732)". The record is from RNAcentral. Lineage: Eukaryota; Viridiplantae; Streptophyta; Magnoliopsida; Fabales; Fabaceae.